RNAcentral lists this ribosomal RNA (268 nucleotides) under uncultured bacterium. RNAcentral describes it as "partial 16S ribosomal RNA". It matches the Rfam family "Bacterial small subunit ribosomal RNA", at positions 333 to 598 of the family's 1533-position model. The record is from RNAcentral.
ACUCACCUACGGGGGGCAGCAGUGAGGAAUAUUGGUCAAUGGUCGGGACACUGAACCAGCCAAGCCGCGUGAGGGAUGAAGGUACAGAGUAUCGAAAACCUCUUUUGUCAGGGAAAAAAGGCGGGGACGGGUCCCCGGAUGAGUGUACCUGAAGAAAAAGCAUCGGCUAACUCCGUGCCAGCAGCCGCGGUAAUACGGAGGAUGCGAGCGUUAUCCGGAUUUAUUGGGUUUAAAGGGUGCGCAGGCGGGCUGUUAAGUCAGCGGUAAA